RNAcentral lists this unclassified non-coding RNA (5395 nucleotides) under Acanthaster planci (crown-of-thorns starfish). RNAcentral's name for it is "serine/threonine-protein kinase 25-like, transcript variant X8". The record is from RNAcentral. Lineage: Eukaryota; Metazoa; Echinodermata; Asteroidea; Valvatida; Acanthasteridae.
GUUGCACAAGAUACCGACGUGCCAGUGAGCGCAACACGCUCAAAACACCUGACACCCUGAUGACCAUGCAUUUAUUAGCAACUGUACACCAUCUGCAGCUGCGGUACGGCCCUACUGUGAUUGUGAAGAAAUUGUGAUGCAAUACAAAUCGUAUAAUCAUGACCGCGCUUGUUAAGGCCUACAAAAAUACUUGUACCCCCAGAACUGUGUAUGGAGUAGAUAAGGCCUUCAGUUCAAAUAAAUUAAAGCCAAGGAUUGAACUCAGUAAUCGUUCACGUCGAGGUAGGACCUUAUCCUGAAACUUGAAAGUCCUGAUGCAUGAUGCGGAAAAGGACGGCAUUCAUAAGCUUGUUUCACAUUUCGUGCUCAUGCUCAGAAAGAAGAUUUAACCGAGGGGAACAAAUCCAUGACAACGUUUGACAUAAGAGACAUCUCGUUACUUUGUGAAUAACAAAGAUGAUUGGAAAGCGUGAUACGCCAACACCACCCGAUGGAGGAUGGGGCUGGGUGGUUGCCGUGGGCAGCAACAUCAGCCUGCAGUUUGCUCUGUUUGUACGCUGCAGCGGGGUGUUUUUCAAUGAGUGGCGAGACUCCUUUGAAGCCUCGGCAACAGCGGUCAGUGUGGCCGGCAGCGCCCAUCUGGCAGCGUUUCUCUUCACGGGUCCUCUGGCAGGCUAUCUCUGCAAUCGAAUCGGCCCUCGAAGACUGGCUGUGCUUGGAGGCGCGAUGAUGUCCACUAGUUUUUUCAUUACAUCUUUUGCGAAAACACUUUUACACGUCAUAUUGAGCUUUGGUGCUGUGGGAGGGGUCGGUUGUGGCUUUAUCUAUGUCAGUUCUACAACUGUCAUCAGCAAGUACUUUAAGAAAAGGUUUGCUACGGCCAACAGCAUCAGCAACUCCGGGUCAGGCUUGACCAUCAUCAUUCUGCCACUUCUGGCUCGCUUAUUCAUCGACCUCUAUAGUUGGAGCGGAGCUUUUUUUGUCUUUUCAGCAAUGACAGCUAAUGUAUGUGCCUGCGGCAUGCUAUUCCGACCAGUAAAACAAUAUAAUAGACUUGCCAAGAAAAAGAAAAUAAUUGGGGAAGUUUCAGUUGAAGAGAGACCUCCUGGCCACGAGGAAAUUGAGCGGGUGUCAUUACAAAAUGAUGAACUCGUUCAGGAGAGUGUCAGAAGUUCUCAUGGAAAGGUUUACAGGAAGAUUUUAGGGAGCUCUGGAAGUGAUUCUGAGGUAGAGGACACUAACUUAAACCUUGAGGAAAGUCAAGCUGAUGAACCUCAUGAGAUGAUGUGCAGCUCUGGUGUAGAGUCUAUAGAAGACGAGGAUGUCCAAGUACGCAAGAGCAUGUUAGAUGGGAAGCCGGUUAGGAAGGUCUCAAUACAACCUGGUUGUGUGUCUGAAGCUCAGGAUGCAAUAAACCUCCGGGGUGUUUCAGAUAGCCAACCUCAAAGAAGGUCUUCAGAGAGCCUUAGUCACAGCUCUCGGCAGCAGGAGCAUGGGGAAGUUUGUAAUGGAGAAGUCGUGACCUCAUCAAAGCUUUCUGCAACUGCCAGUCAACAUAGUGUCGUCACUGAUGCAUCAGUGGCGAGGACACAGCGAAGGCCAACCGUGGCAUCUAUUUAUCUUGGUCACCUCGCCCAAGUCAGUGGGUUCUAUCUCUUUAAGACUCGGCAUCGUUUCACCCUCAUGUGCGUCCUGAAUGCUGUGGUAGGGAUAGCUUUCUCUGCCGUCACAAUCCACUUUGUGCCCAUGACCAUUGAUGCUGGGAUCUCCAAGCUGAAUGCUGCUGUACUGAUGUCGAUCUACGGCGUUGGCAGCCUGUCGGGCCGGCUAUCUUCUGGUCCAUUGGUAGACCAUAACAUUUUUGGCCCUCUGAAAUUGUACUUUUUCGUCAUCUUUACUUGCGGAUUAUCUAUGAUCAUCUGCCCUUCCCUACACACCUUCGCAGGGUAUAUCAUCUUUGCUAUUGUCUUCGGAUGUAUGUCUGGAAUGUUCAAGUCCCUUCAUGUCGUCUUGAUUAGGCAGUUUGUGGGCACUGAUCUGUUUCCCAUUGCACUUGGGAUUUUUAUGCCUUUUAUGGGCAUCGGCACUGUUGCUGGACCAACAUUUGCUGGUUCGCUGUAUGAUAUUGGGGAGAAUUACAACCUGGCUUUCUACAUCACCGGCAGCAUCUUGGCUGUGGGAGCCUUCUUUGUUCUACUCAUACCAUAUCUGAAGAGAUUUGAGGAGAAACAUCAUCCUGAUGGUCACCUCAACGAUGAUGUGCACGAGGAGCCUGGGGCAUCAGCGCAGUUAGGAAGCGUACAGUCACUCAGUGCUGUGUAACCAGUUUGGCUUUGCCCGCUUUCAGUUGAUGGAAUUUAGGUUCAUACAUCAAAGCUCUUUGUGCAGGUAGUGUUUGACAAGCCAGUUGAGUAUUUCACAAAGACGGGUUUAUUUGAGUUCAAAGCACCUGACAUCUUGCCGGUUUGGACAUAUUCAGUGCACUGUGUUUGGCUGUGCUGGUACUGUGGGGCAGAACUUGCACUAGUGUAGUCUUACCAACAAAGAACCCAGGGUGGACUUUAUUUUUUAAGAAAUACAUUAAAAAAAUAUAUGAAUGAAAUUACAAUUAGAGAGGGUUUGCAUGUCUGCCAUCUUGCAGGCCAGUGGAUUGUUCCACAGGUUAUGCACAAACAAGGUUUCCCUGCAGAACAAACAACUGCCCUGCAAGAUGGCUGCCACACAAAGCCUUUAUAGUGAUAAUACAAAACCAGAUGACAUCCAGUAAAGGUUAUUUGUACAUCAGUAAGGGUGUAAUGCAUUUACCUAUGUGUCCACCUGUCUUCAACAGUAAGACAUAAAAAAGUCUGACGAGUCAGACCCCUACCCCUGGAAGAAUUCCUGGAGCAGCCUGUUUUAAGGCAUGCACUGUCCAUAUUUCAAACUCCUACCUCAUUAACUAUUUAUUUCAUUUGCUCAAAAGUCCACUAAUGUUGACAGGGGUAUAUUGAGGCAGUUUGGAACAGUAAAUGCUUGUUUAUACUCACUUCAUUUGCACUCAUGCAGCACGUAAGGUGAAUGCCGCAUUUGAGGUUCAUCCUUUCAUGUCUUCUCAAGGCCCAGCUGGGUGUGCGUAUCCGACAAAAGUUUUACCAAUUUUAGUUUGUCCGAAUACGCAUACGUUCACGGCGUACGCACUAUCCAUUAUUUUCUCAAACUGCGUACUAGGGCGCACAUUUUCAUUAUGCACUGCGCUUUUCUUCAACCCCUGCAGACACCUCAAAAUAGACUGUUGCGCUGCGUACACAGUGAAUAUGCAGCAAGUAUAAACCGGCCUUAACUCAGGUUUUUUUGUAUACGGGUACUUCAAUCAAUGUUGGCCAAAUGAUGGAUGAUUGGGAUGGUCUAAAUGAACUUCUGUGCAUGCUUCCAACACACUUACAUGUGAGUGCAAGCUACGUAUGUACAUAUAUAUUUAUGGGGUUUUUGUUUGUUUUUUAGCUAUGAAGCAAAUACAAGACAAUGUGAUACGGGUUUCCAUCUGUCCAGCUAGCGGUCUACUUUUCACAUCACAAUGUUAAAGUUUUUAGCUUGAAGGUAUUUAGAUAAUAACAUGAGUGAUGAAUAACAAAUUGAACGAGUUUACUUUUGAGAUUUUUCUUAAAAAUUUGUUUACUGUAUUUGUUUAUAUAUGUACAUGUAUUUAUUGACUUACAUGUAUGUGUCACUGUUGAUUUCUUUUGUCUUUGUUAAGCAGUAUUUAAUCAAGAGAUUGAAAAAUUCAAUUUGAUGACUGCGGCAGAAAUGAAUCAUUUAAGUUUCAGAAGUACAUCCAGCUCGUUUUUGAGCUGGUGUUUUUUAUUUCUGUCCAAAUCUCAAUGAAAUGAACCAAAAAAGGUGAAUUUAAAUUCAAAGAUAUUGCCAUAAAAUAACUAAUGUAUUUAAUUUUUGUAUGCAUGUGAACAGAUUAGUCAAUAUGGGUCAGUUCAAAAAGCCAAUCAAAAGCCACACUUGACUGUAAGAAAGCCUUUGGAAAGUCUUCCAAAAAUGGGAAUGGUUGGGAAACUGUAUUUUUAAAACCAAAAGCCAGAAUCUACAGUGUACUUUUGGUCAAUGUCAUGUCAAGGAGAAUGGACGGGGAACUGUAGAGUAAGCCCGAGUGAGCUUGUGACUUUUUUCGCAAGCUCUCGGACAAGCACUGAGCAUACAGUGUUUAUCAAUAUAUACGUACGGUAAGGGCAAAACCCCUUGUUUAAAUUACCAUCUCCCCUAUGCAAAAAUACUUCUUGAAAAGCAAGCCUCAUUGUAUUUGGACAAAAAACUAAAUAUAAUUUUUUAUGUGCUUUUCAAAAGUAAAUCCUCACUUCAAACAAUGGAGAGAUAAUAUCUAUUGUUUUUUCUUUUUUAGGUGAAGUAUAUGAUUUGCAGCAUAUAUAAUGUACAUAUAAUUGAAAUAAAUGCUAUACAAGAAGAGAAGAUAUGAAAUGCUAACAAAAGGUUAUUUUGUUCCACUAAUUGAAAUUUGAACAUGAAACUGACCAAGCAAAGUUUUUGUUAGCCUUGCUCAUAUCCAUUUAUCAUUUUUUGCACAUCCCCCCCCCCACCCCGCGGUUACGCCACUGCGUAGGAGAAACGUUUACCCUUCCUAAAUCGCCGGGCACCCUGCGUAAUAAAAGAGCUCCGCCCACAUUUUUCUCCCCUUCUAGUUUUGUACUGAAAAGAUACGAUCAUUAUACAAUCGCAGUAUAAGAGGUUACGACCCUUCGCCAUUACAGACGUAACGCAACCCAGCUUGGGUGCGAGGUUGUUAGUGUUUCAGGCAUGGCGACCGACCGACGGAACGCGGAAGAACGGUCACCGUCACAUUGCAUCGCCAAACACCCGUUUUUUGGACGAAAUCCCGCUGUUGUCAGCUCUGGAAAUCCUACUCCUAUCCAGGGAUCUCUAUAACGUAUAUCGAAGCGUACGGUGUCUCUGAAGAAAGGGAAAUUUAAAAGGCUUCAUGAAAGAUUUUCAUCUGAUGACAAUCGUUGACGGGUCCCACCAUUUACUGCUGUGACGUCUGCACAUAAAUACACUGUACGUGCGACCGCGCCGCAGGGGAGGCUGUAGCGGCUGAAGAAAGCAGUGCCCAUGCUUCGUGGACUUCAACCCGAGGGUUUGAUGUUGCCAACCUGUAUUUUAUCUUAAAAGGGAAAAACAGAAAUUGUUCAGAAUUUUGAUCAUCGAGAUAUAAAAGCAUAGACCAUGAAGAGAGACAGCAGGUAGCGGAAUCAUGCAUCGAGGCGGCGGAAAACAAAACGGGAAUAUGAAUUCAUCCUUGGGAAGGACCCAGAACAUGAAGGCAGAUCCAGAGCAGCUCUUUGCCAAGUUGGAGCGCAUCGGCAAGGGUUCCUUUGGCGAGGUCUUCAAGGGU